UACGGGAGGCAGCAGUGGGGAAUAUUGGACAAUGGGGGCAACCCUGAUCCAGCCAUGCCGCGUGAGUGAUGAAGGCCUUCGGGUUGUAAAGCUCUUUUGGCGGGGACGAUGAUGACGGUACCCGCAGAAUAAGCCCCGGCUAACUUCGUGCCAGCAGCCGCGGUAA
Molecule: ribosomal RNA, 166 nt
Filed under: uncultured bacterium
Lineage: Bacteria
Description: partial 16S ribosomal RNA
Rfam family: Bacterial small subunit ribosomal RNA
Source: RNAcentral